UACGUAGGGGGCGAGCGUUGUCCGGAUUUAUUGGGCGUAAAGAGCGUGUAGGCGGCCAGGUAGGUCUGCUGUGAAAACUCGAGGCUCAACCUCGAGACGUCGGCGGAAACCAUCUGGCUAGAGUCCGGAAGAGGAGAGUGGAAUUCCUGGGUGUAGCGGUUGAAAUGCGCAGAUAUCAGGAAGAACACCCGUGGCGAAGGCGGCUCUCUGGGACGGUGACUGACGCUGAGACGCGAAAGCGUGGGGAGCGAACAGG
RNAcentral lists this ribosomal RNA (256 nucleotides) under uncultured bacterium. RNAcentral's name for it is "partial 16S ribosomal RNA". It matches the Rfam family "Bacterial small subunit ribosomal RNA", at positions 524 to 776 of the family's 1533-position model. The record is from RNAcentral.